Ictidomys tridecemlineatus (thirteen-lined ground squirrel) is the source of this 3330-nucleotide non-coding RNA. The record is from RefSeq and is a predicted model, not a curated record. NCBI's taxonomy places the organism in Eukaryota, Metazoa, Chordata, Mammalia, Rodentia, Sciuridae.
AAAUAUGCUGGCAUAUAUAUAUGUAUAUUUUACCAUAAUAUAUAUAUAUUUUUUUUAACCAUAUACCAUAUAUGGUAUGCUUCUGGCAUAUAGUAGAUGUUGAAAGAAGGAUGUUUCCCUACAUUCUUGACUCCAUGACCUCUAUUUUUUCCUAAUAGUUUCAGUAACUGCUCAGAGAUUAACUGAGGUGAUGAAAAAAAUCUAUGAGCUUAAUGCAGGUAACUAGAAUUAAACAAUAAUGGCACAAAUAAAUAGGUUGCAUGCAACCUAUUCUUUUGGGUCUGAGAGAAAGACACCAUCUCAAAAAACAUACCCUGGAACUCAGAUGCCAGGAGACUACAUGCUUAUGUAGUCUUUUCUCAUCUCACAAUAACUAAGCUGAAUUUGCAUUGCAUAAAUGAUAUGCCUGUGUUUACAUCAAAUGUCUUUUUCCAGCAUAGUAGUUCUCAACCUUUUUUCCUUUGGGAAUACACGUGACAUUAACAUAAAUUAGCAUAUCUGACAUUCUCUCUGGGGGGCGAUUCAGCGACUUCCCUAAUUCCUGAUAGGCACUUCUUUCUCUCCCACUCUAGAAAUCCUACUGGAAAAGAGAUGGUGAAGGUGACAUUAUACAGAUAACUUCUCUAAUUCUUUUCCAAAUAAAUUAUCUACAAAUUUUAGCAAAUCAUCCACCAAUGUUCUGCUCAUAACAUAUCUGAAACUUGGGUGGUAAAAUACUCAGUUUAAAAGUUGCUCUCCCAGGGGAUGCUGUGGUCAUGACAAUUCAGAAUGGUUACAACACUCUGAGUCCACCAGACCUGGAGAUCCAAGUAGACUUUCGCAGUCUCCAACAUCUAAGCUAGGUGCUUCUAGGUGCUCUGACCCAGAGUGGAGGCACAAAGUCAGGAUGCAUUUUCUCUGCGUACUUACACUGAACAAAAAAGUCUAUGUUCACGUCAGUGUGUUGGAACUAAUGGUUAUCUGGCCUCAGUGUCACUGAGGCAAAGCACUGACAUAUGAACAAAACCACUCCAGGCUUCCUGUCUUCCAACAUAUUCUAUCUAUAUAGUCUUGCCAUCGACUGUCAAUUCUGUCUAACCACCAGAAGCUUCCUCCCACAUCUUUAUGCACUUAAGCAUUCUAUUCAACAGAUCAGAUCGACUCUCCCCUCUGGUCAAAGCCAUUUAUUAUCCGUCGUAAGUAAUGUGACUAUGGGGGAUGCUACCUGGGGCCACUGGAAACCUGCCAUGGUUUACAGCCUUGGAACAGACUCAGGAAUUGUAAGUUAAACCUCUUUAAGCCAAACCCAAACCUUUUAUAAUUGAAAUUACAAUAAAUCACACCUCCUAAAUCUUCCUGGAGCAGACUCAAGAAAGGUCUCCUCUUGGUCUAACUGCCAAAGAGCUUCCUAAUAAGGGAGCCAGAUCAAGAAGGACAAUUUGAACUUUAGCUGUGCCUCUGGCUAAUGCAGGGAGUAUUAGAGGGUCUGUUCUUAUAUUAUGGAGGCAAGGAAUAGAGAUAGAUAGAAUAGAAGGACGAGGCAAAACUGUAGAUGUCAAUGGCUCCCUCUCUAAGAUCAAGUUCACACACCCAAGUGUGAUGUAUAUUGUCCCCAGGAUCUGUCCUGCCCUAAAGGAAUGUGUCCUUCCAGGAUGGCACUUACCUUUGUGCAUUGCAAUGAUUCAAAUGCAUUUCCCUUUGGGUUAUGAGGGCCUCAAGGGCAGACAUCAUGACUUAGCAAACUGUAAUUCUUAGUGACCAUCAGAAGCCCAGAGGGUGUGUCAUCAAUUCUGAAAAAUGAGCAAAGUCACUGCAGGAAAGCUGCAUAUAAGCCAUCAGGGCAAAUUUGAGAAGAGAACCUCAGAUUGUGCAUAAUCGGAACAAUUCGAGGGCAUAUCCUUUUCUUCUAGAAGGAGUGUAAGUACAUUAGGGAAGGCUGUUAUAAACUGAACACAAAACAUCGAGCUUCAGUUUUCUCCUAGAGAUACAUCAAGAUCUGUGAUCCCGUCUAAACUCUCACUUAGAAUAGUAGUUACAUUCCAUUUAUGUGCCAUAAAAGAAAACAGAUACAAUUUCUUUACAGGUGCACUUGUUUCUAAAAUAAUGUUCCUCCAACUUGAAUGCCCGCCAUAUUUAUCAGACAUGGCUUCAGGGCAACUUUUAAUAUCUCCCCCAAACAAAUUCACCCUCCAAGGAUGAAGAUGUGCCCAUGUUUGAAGAUAUUUAAAGAACAAUGUCCAUACAUAAUUAUAAAGAAUGGUUCCCCAAACCAUUCCCAAUGCUUUGGGGCAACUUUUCAGUGUCUUGGAGAUAAGCAUAUAUCUAUUAAGAAGACGGCUUUGAGGACAGUGGUGAAGCUUUAGAAUUACACAUUCUGAUGGGCUACAGAAAAAUAACCAACUUACUAUGAACUGCUUACUAUGAACCAAACAUUCUGUUAGCCACAGGUACCUGAAAAUAACCAUACCCACAAGAGUUAGUAUUUAUCGAGUGCUCACUAUCUUUCAGCCAUGGUGCUAAGAGUUAUUUUAUUUUAUUCUCCAUUUUUUUACAGACAAGAAAACUGAGAAAAAAAAAAAAGAAAACUGAGGAUGAAAAAAAAACUACAUAUUUUGCUAAGGUUACAAAUCCACAAGAAUCAAGAUUCACCGGAAAAUUAACUGGCUUAUUUGUAAUUACUAUGAUUUAUAUGCUACCUCAUGAGCUUCGCUCUUAACCACUGCAAUACAGCUUCUAGAUUUUUCCUAAAAUAUUAUAGGAACACAUGGAUUCUAAUUUAUGCUUCUUUUCAAUUAAAACAUUGUCUAAUUCAGUGCUCAAUAACACUAUCAGUGGCAGUGGUCCCAUCAAGACAAGGAAGGAGGACAAAUAAGAACAACAGGCCAAAGUGACAAGAGAUGGUUCAGCUCAUAUACUCCCCCAACAAAAGCCAUGCUCAUUGGACCCAGCAGCAGAGACAGAGAGAAAGUCCCUAGGUGGCUUCCUGCCAGCGACAGAAUGGUUCAUUGAGACUUGCUUGCUACUUCAUUCCAGCCCCCCCACCCCGCCUUCCCCUCCUUCUUAAGACUUUCCCAGGUCCCUCUUGGCUGUGGUUGAACGACGUUGGCUCCUGUCCAUGCUGCAACAAAGACCUGGCAUUCCAGCUGUCUGCGUCUAAUCUCCAGUGUCAGCUCUCGUUAAUGUGUGAGCGUGAAAUCAGAGGGGGCAGAGCUGCACGGAAUAUUAAAACCAUGAUCAGAAUUCCGCUGAAACGCUGAGAGUCUGCAAGCACCAUUAGAGGAGGCUGUCAAAUCACGGCUUCGCAUUAAAUAAAAGAAAAGAUUUCUAUCAGAGGAAAGUACAAUCAGUGAA